RNAcentral lists this ribosomal RNA (468 nucleotides) under uncultured bacterium. RNAcentral describes it as "partial 16S ribosomal RNA". It matches the Rfam family "Bacterial small subunit ribosomal RNA", at positions 28 to 507 of the family's 1533-position model. The record is from RNAcentral.
GACGAACGCUGGCGGCGUGCUUAACACAUGCAAGUCGAACGGAAAGGCCCUGCUUUUGUUGGGUUCUCGAUUGGCGAACGGGUGAGUAACACGUGUGUAACCUCCCCUUGUCUUUGUGAUAACUUCACGAAACUGCGGCUAAUAUCGGAUAUGAUCUCCUGCUGCAUGGUGGGGGUUGGAAAGUUUCGGCUGUUGUGGAUGGACUCGAGGCUUAUCGGCUUGUUUGUGGGGUAGUGGCUUACCAAGGCUUUGACGGGUAGCCUGCCUGGGAGGGGGGACGGGCACAUUGGGACUGAGGGACGGACCAGAAGGGAACGGGAGGCAGCAGGGGGGAAUAUUGCGGAAUAGGGGGAAGUGUGAUGCAAAAACGCCCGGUGCGGGAAGACGUGCUACGGGGUGAAAACAGAUUUGGAAGGAGACGAAGAGUGAGUGACGGUAAUGGGUAAAGAAGCACCGGCUAACUACGUG